CCUACGGGUGGCAGCAGUGAGGAAUAUUGGUCAAUGGACGCAAGUCUGAACCAGCCAUGCCGCGUGCAGGAAGACGGCUCUAUGAGUUGUAAACUGCUUUUGUACGAGGGUAAACGCAGAUACGCGUAUCUGUCUGAAAGUAUCGUACGAAUAAGGAUCGGCUAACUCCGUGCCAGCAGCCGCGGUAAUACGGAGGAUUCAAGCGUUAUCCGGAUUUAUUGGGUUUAAAGGGUGCGUAGGCGGUCGGAUAAGUUAGAGGUGAAAUCCCGGGGCUCAACCUCGGAAUUGCCUCUGAUACUGUUUGGCUCGAGAGUAGUAGCGGUAGGCGGAAUGUAUGGUGUAGCGGUGAAAUGCGUAGAGAUAAUGCAGAACACCGAUUGCGAAGGCAGCUUGCCGGGCUGCUUCUGACGUUGAGGCACGAAAGCGUGGGGAGCAAACAGGAUUAGAUACCCCAGUAGUC
This 460-nucleotide ribosomal RNA is filed under the name uncultured bacterium. RNAcentral describes it as "partial 16S ribosomal RNA". It matches the Rfam family "Bacterial small subunit ribosomal RNA", at positions 338 to 795 of the family's 1533-position model. The record is from RNAcentral.